Long non-coding RNA from Gossypium arboreum, 979 nucleotides. RefSeq lists it as uncharacterized. Lineage: Eukaryota; Viridiplantae; Streptophyta; Magnoliopsida; Malvales; Malvaceae. The record is from RefSeq and is a predicted model, not a curated record. The transcript is spliced from 2 exons.
UACCAGCACAUACUCUGAACACUUUUUUAUUGUCAAAAAGCAUCAUAGAUGAUAUGAUUAAGGCAAUUAGAAAAUAUUAGUGGGCAAAAGCGGGGGCGGGUAAGGGAUAUGCGAUGUUAGAUUGGAAGCAAAGUUAUGCAAAAGACAAAGAAGCUUUUACUAGUUUAGUUGUGCUUUUCUUGCAAUUGUGGGAAGCAAGGAAUUUGUUCAUGAUUCAGGGGCGGAAUUCUUCCUCGCAAGAUGUGUUUUUGAAAGCCCAAUCUAUCCAUCAUGACUUUCGAUGCAUAAUCUCCUUUGUGCGCCAUUGUUCUCUUGACAUCUAAUUAUGGCUUGAUGGACUCCACCUUGUGAAGAUGCGGUCAAAGUUAAUGUUGACACGAAUGGAAUAUAGUGACAAGAUUUGUUGCUUGCGGUGCCAUUGUUCUUGACCAUGAGGGAAAUGGUGCUAGUCGAUUUUGCUUGCUCAAUCAUUUAGGCUUUGGACACUCCUUCAGCUAAGGCUCUCGCUUUGGCUUGUGCUUCGUAAAAGGCCCUUUAGAAAGGGUUUUCUAGAGUUAUUUUCGAGUUUGAUUGUGCAUUUAUUGUUAAUAAGUUUAAUAGUUGAACUCUAGAUUUAUCUCUUUAUGGUCGUAUUGUUAGAAAGGCUUUAGGUGUUUGUGAUUUUUUUUAUAUUGUUAGUUUUUAAUUUUUUACUCACAGAUCCGCCAAUUGUGUCUCUCAUUGUUUGGCACAUUGGUUGAUGGAUGAGAAUGUUGCUUUUGAGUUCAAUUUGAGCUAUUAGGAUUUCAUCCACUGGUUGGUGUUGGAUGAUACCUUUUAAUUUAAUAUAGUUGGGCCUUUUUAGGCUUUUUCUUUAAAAAAAUUAGGCAAGGAUCAAUAUUUUUGUUUAUUUUUAUUAUAUGUAUUUGCUGUCUACCAAUUAUUAUCUAUAAAUAUUUAAAAGGUAAAUGUAAUAGUCUAUUUUUAGUGGUGUUGAGAA